RNAcentral lists this long non-coding RNA (1313 nucleotides) under Chrysemys picta bellii (western painted turtle). RNAcentral's name for it is "lncRNA (ENSCPBG00000004955.1)". The record is from RNAcentral. Lineage: Eukaryota; Metazoa; Chordata; Testudines; Emydidae.
GGGGGAGUCUCGAGUCCUGCUCGACAGCACCCCCUGGUGGGGAGCUGGGCACUAAACUCUGGCUUCAUGGCUGGGCUCCCGGCCCCUUGCCCCCCCUCCAGAUCGCCAGGACCUGGAGCAGGCCGACAAGGUGGACAAGCUGCAGGAGCCGCUGCUGGAGGCGCUGAAGAUCUACGUGAGGAAGAGGAGGCCCAACAAGCCCCACAUGUUCCCCAAGAUGCUGAUGAAGAUCACGGACCUGCGCAGCAUCAGCGCCAAGGGCGCCGAGCGGGUGAUCACGCUGAAGAUGGAGAUCCCCGGCUCCAUGCCGCCCCUCAUCCAGGAGAUGCUGGAGAACUCGGAGGGCCUGGACACGCUGGGCGGGCAGCCGGGCGCCUCCCGCGUGAGCAGCCUGGCGCCGCCCCCCGGCAGCUGCAGCCCCAGCCUGUCGCCCAGCUCCAACAGAAGCAGCCCGGCCACCCACUCGCCGUGACGCCGCGGCCGGCGCCGGCGUCAGGACGCCGUUCUUGCUCUUUGCUGCCAGGCCCGAGGGCCGCAUGGCAAGCCAAGGAGGAGGGGGAGGAGGUGACGCUGCCGCGGGCCACCCCCCUCCUCCGGGCCCCAGCCCGUUCCUGUCCGUAUCAGCACACACUGUGGCCAUGGCUUCCCUGUUGACUUGUGACGGACUCUUCCGUAGAAUCAGAAGUGGAUCCCGUGGGCACUGCCAGGGGGCACUGAGCCCUCGCUGGGAUCAGCUGGGGCCGGUUUACAGACCCCCAGCGACUGAUGUUUGUACCCAGGUUGGAGCAAACUAGCGCCCCGCUCCCCCCCACUCUCACCCCCCCCAGCGCGCUGUCGCAGGGGUCCGGCCCACGGCUGGGGGGCGCUGCACCCAUGUGAAGAUGAAGUGUCUUUUGGUUGAGUUGCAUUUCAAGUGUUUCCGGGGGGGUUGGGGGGAGAGGGUCAGUUUGGGAAACGUUAGUUGUUUUUUAAAAUUUUCAUGAGCAAAAUCGAUCAGCGGAUUGUGGCCGUCACGCGCACCCCCACACACACCAUGUUCCCCCCACACACACACACGCCUGUCGUCACCAGCAAAACCAACAACAAUCCAAUUCGCUUGUCAGGUAAAACCAGAAACACCCGCCAGGAACCAGAGGCCGAUUCAUUGCAAAGCCAGACAAAGCCAGAUUAUAUAUCUAUAAAUAGCUAUAAAUAUCUAUAAAUACCUUUUAAAAACUUUGUAAAAGUCGGGAGGGGUUUUUAGAGACGUGCUGCGGUUGGCAAGGGGGGGUCCCGGAUCUGGAUGUGAAGUGGGGGCGGGGAGGGGGCUGGGG